This 252-nucleotide ribosomal RNA is filed under the name uncultured bacterium. RNAcentral describes it as "partial 16S ribosomal RNA". It matches the Rfam family "Bacterial small subunit ribosomal RNA", at positions 524 to 776 of the family's 1533-position model. The record is from RNAcentral.
UACGGAGGGUGCAAGCGUUAAUCGGAAUUACUGGGCGUAAAGCGCACGCAGGCGGUUGAUUGAGUCAGAUGUGAAAUCCCCGGGCUUAACCCGGGAAUUGCAUCUGAUACUGGUCAGCUAGAGUCUUGUAGAGGGGGUAGAAUUCCAUGUGUAGCGGUGAAAUGCGUAGAGAUGUGGAGGAAUACCGGUGGCGAAGGCGGCCCCCUGGACAAAGACUGACGCUCAGGUGCGAAAGCGUGGGGAGCAAACAGG